AUUGAACGCUGGCGGCAGGCCUAACACAUGCAAGUCGAGCGAGCGGAGGACGGGUGAGUAAUGUAUGGGGAUCUGCCCGAUAGAGGGGGAUAACUACUGGAAACGGUGGAUAAUACCGCAUACUAUCGGAUGAACCCAUAUGGGAUUAGGUAGCUGGUGAGGUAAAGGCUCACCAAGCCGACGAUCUCUAGCUGGUCUGAGAGGAUGACCAGCCACACUGGGACUGAGCCACGGCCCAGACUCCUACGGGAGGCAGCAGUGGGGAAUAUUGCGCAAUGGGUGCAACCCUGUCGCAGUCAUGCCGCGUGAAUGAAGAAGGCCUUCGGGUUUUAAAGUUCUUUCAGCGGGGAGGCGUUACCCGCAGAAGAAGCACCGGCUAACUCCGUGCCAACAGCCACGGUAGUAC
RNAcentral lists this ribosomal RNA (406 nucleotides) under uncultured bacterium. Its description in RNAcentral is "partial 16S ribosomal RNA". It matches the Rfam family "Bacterial small subunit ribosomal RNA", at positions 30 to 526 of the family's 1533-position model. The record is from RNAcentral.